RNAcentral lists this transfer RNA (76 nucleotides) under Desulfobacteraceae bacterium. RNAcentral describes it as "tRNA-Ala". It matches the Rfam family "tRNA". From Rfam's summary of the family: Transfer RNA (tRNA) molecules are approximately 80 nucleotides in length. Their secondary structure includes four short double-helical elements and three loops (D, anti-codon, and T loops). Lineage: Bacteria; Pseudomonadati; Thermodesulfobacteriota; Desulfobacteria; Desulfobacterales; Desulfobacteraceae. RNAcentral also lists the same sequence under 4 other names. The record is from RNAcentral.
GGGGCUGUAGCUCAGCUGGGAGAGCAUACGGCUGGCAGCCGUAAGGUCAGGGGUUCGAUCCCCCUCAGCUCCACCA